Molecule: ribosomal RNA, 2903 nt
Filed under: Enterobacter sp. HK169
Lineage: Bacteria; Pseudomonadati; Pseudomonadota; Gammaproteobacteria; Enterobacterales; Enterobacteriaceae
Description: bacterial LSU rRNA
Rfam family: Bacterial large subunit ribosomal RNA
Source: RNAcentral
UUAAGCGACUAAGCGUACACGGUGGAUGCCCUGGCAGUCAGAGGCGAUGAAGGACGUGCUAAUCUGCGAAAAGCGCCGGCGAGGUGAUAUGAACCUUUGACCCGGCGAUGUCCGAAUGGGGAAACCCAGUGCAAUUCGUUGCACUAUCGUUAACUGAAUACAUAGGUUAACGAGGCGAACCGGGGGAACUGAAACAUCUAAGUACCCCGAGGAAAAGAAAUCAACCGAGAUUCCCCCAGUAGCGGCGAGCGAACGGGGAGCAGCCCAGAGUCUGAAUCAGCUUGUGUGUUAGUGGAAGCGUCUGGAAAGUCGCACGGUACAGGGUGACAGUCCCGUACACGAAAGCACACAGGUUGUGAACUCGAAGAGUAGGGCGGGACACGUGGUAUCCUGUCUGAAUAUGGGGGGACCAUCCUCCAAGGCUAAAUACUCCUGACUGACCGAUAGUGAACCAGUACCGUGAGGGAAAGGCGAAAAGAACCCCGGCGAGGGGAGUGAAAAAGAACCUGAAACCGUGUACGUACAAGCAGUGGGAGCACCUUCGUGGUGUGACUGCGUACCUUUUGUAUAAUGGGUCAGCGACUUAUAUUCUGUAGCAAGGUUAACCGUAUAGGGGAGCCGAAGGGAAACCGAGUCUUAACUGGGCGUUAAGUUGCAGGGUAUAGACCCGAAACCCGGUGAUCUAGCCAUGGGCAGGUUGAAGGUUGGGUAACACUAACUGGAGGACCGAACCGACUAAUGUUGAAAAAUUAGCGGAUGACUUGUGGCUGGGGGUGAAAGGCCAAUCAAACCGGGAGAUAGCUGGUUCUCCCCGAAAGCUAUUUAGGUAGCGCCUCGUGAACUCAUCUUCGGGGGUAGAGCACUGUUUCGGCUAGGGGGCCAUCCCGGCUUACCAACCCGAUGCAAACUACGAAUACCGAAGAAUGUUAUCACGGGAGACACACGGCGGGUGCUAACGUCCGUCGUGAAGAGGGAAACAACCCAGACCGCCAGCUAAGGUCCCAAAGUCAUGGUUAAGUGGGAAACGAUGUGGGAAGGCACAGACAGCCAGGAUGUUGGCUUAGAAGCAGCCAUCAUUUAAAGAAAGCGUAAUAGCUCACUGGUCGAGUCGGCCUGCGCGGAAGAUGUAACGGGGCUAAACCAUGCACCGAAGCUGCGGCAGCGACGCUUAUGCGUUGUUGGGUAGGGGAGCGUUCUGUAAGCCGUUGAAGGUGUGCUGUGAGGCAUGCUGGAGGUAUCAGAAGUGCGAAUGCUGACAUAAGUAACGAUAAAGCGGGUGAAAAGCCCGCUCGCCGGAAGACCAAGGGUUCCUGUCCAACGUUAAUCGGGGCAGGGUGAGUCGACCCCUAAGGCGAGGCCGAAAGGCGUAGUCGAUGGGAAACAGGUUAAUAUUCCUGUACUUGGUGUUACUGCGAAGGGGGGACGGAGAAGGCUAUGUUAGCCGGGCGACGGUUGUCCCGGUUUAAGCAUGUAGGCGGAGGUUCCAGGUAAAUCCGGUACCUUUUAACGCUGAGGUGUGAUGACGAGGCACUACGGUGCUGAAGUAACAAAUGCCCUGCUUCCAGGAAAAGCCUCUAAGCAUCAGGUAACAUCAAAUCGUACCCCAAACCGACACAGGUGGUCAGGUAGAGAAUACCAAGGCGCUUGAGAGAACUCGGGUGAAGGAACUAGGCAAAAUGGUGCCGUAACUUCGGGAGAAGGCACGCUGAUAUGUAGGUGAAGCCCCUGCGGGUGGAGCUGAAAUCAGUCGAAGAUACCAGCUGGCUGCAACUGUUUAUUAAAAACACAGCACUGUGCAAACACGAAAGUGGACGUAUACGGUGUGACGCCUGCCCGGUGCCGGAAGGUUAAUUGAUGGGGUUAGCGGCAACGCGAAGCUCUUGAUCGAAGCCCCGGUAAACGGCGGCCGUAACUAUAACGGUCCUAAGGUAGCGAAAUUCCUUGUCGGGUAAGUUCCGACCUGCACGAAUGGCGUAAUGAUGGCCAGGCUGUCUCCACCCGAGACUCAGUGAAAUUGAACUCGCUGUGAAGAUGCAGUGUACCCGCGGCAAGACGGAAAGACCCCGUGAACCUUUACUAUAGCUUGACACUGAACACUGGUCCUUGAUGUGUAGGAUAGGUGGGAGGCUUUGAAGCGUGGACGCCAGUCUGCGUGGAGCCAACCUUGAAAUACCACCCUUUAAUGGCUGGUGUUCUAACGUAGACCCGUGAUCCGGGUUGCGGACAGUGUCUGGUGGGUAGUUUGACUGGGGCGGUCUCCUCCCAAAGAGUAACGGAGGAGCACGAAGGUUAGCUAAUCCUGGUCGGACAUCAGGAGGUUAGUGCAAUGGCAUAAGCUAGCUUGACUGCGAGAGUGACGGCUCGAGCAGGUGCGAAAGCAGGUCAUAGUGAUCCGGUGGUUCUGAAUGGAAGGGCCAUCGCUCAACGGAUAAAAGGUACUCCGGGGAUAACAGGCUGAUACCGCCCAAGAGUUCAUAUCGACGGCGGUGUUUGGCACCUCGAUGUCGGCUCAUCACAUCCUGGGGCUGAAGUAGGUCCCAAGGGUAUGGCUGUUCGCCAUUUAAAGUGGUACGCGAGCUGGGUUUAGAACGUCGUGAGACAGUUCGGUCCCUAUCUGCCGUGGGCGCUGGAGAAUUGAGGGGGGCUGCUCCUAGUACGAGAGGACCGGAGUGGACGCAUCACUGGUGUUCGGGUUGUCAUGCCAAUGGCACUGCCCGGUAGCUAAAUGCGGAAAAGAUAAGUGCUGAAAGCAUCUAAGCACGAAACUUGCCCCGAGAUGAGUUCUCCCUGACCCUUUAAGGGUCCUGAAGGAACGUUGAAGACUACGACGUUGAUAGGUCGGGUGUGUAAGCGCAGCGAUGCGUUGAGCUAACCGAUACUAAUGAACCGUGAGGCUUAACCUU